AGCGAACGCUGGCGGCAGGCUUAACACAUGCAAGUCGAACGGGCGUAGCAAUACGUCAGUGGCAGACGGGUGAGUAACGCGUGGGAACGUACCUUUUGGUUCGGAACAACCCAGGGAAACUUGGGCUAAUACCGGAUAAGCCCUUACGGGGAAAGAUUAUCGCCGAAAGAUCGGCCCGCGUCUGAUUAGCUAGUUGGUGAGGUAACGGCUCACCAAGGCGACGAUCAGUAGCUGGUCUGAGAGGAUGACCAGCAUCACUGGGACUGAGACACGGCCCAGACUCCUACGGGAGGCGAGCAGUGGGGAAUAUUGGACAAUGGGCGCAAGCCUGAUCCAGCCAUGCCGCGUGGAUGAUGAAGG
RNAcentral lists this ribosomal RNA (360 nucleotides) under uncultured bacterium. Its description in RNAcentral is "bacterial SSU rRNA". It matches the Rfam family "Bacterial small subunit ribosomal RNA", at positions 29 to 414 of the family's 1533-position model. The record is from RNAcentral.